UACGUAGGUGGCAAGCGUUGUCCGGAUUUACUGGGCGUAAAGGGCGUGCAGGCGGUUUGUUAAGUGCAGGGUGAAAGCUCCCGGCUCAACUGGGAGAGGUCCUUGCAUACUGGCAAACUCGAGGGAGGCAGAGGAAAGUGGAAUUCCCGGUGUAGUGGUGAUAUGCGUAGAUAUCGGGAAGAACACCCGUGGCGAAGGCGGCUCUCUGGGACGGUACUGACGCUGAGACGCGAAAGCGUGGGGAGCGAACAGG
Molecule: ribosomal RNA, 253 nt
Filed under: uncultured bacterium
Lineage: Bacteria
Description: partial 16S ribosomal RNA
Rfam family: Bacterial small subunit ribosomal RNA
Source: RNAcentral